ACGGAGGGUGCAAGCGUUGCUCGGAUUUACUGGGCGUAAAGCGACCGCAGGCGGUUUGUCAGGUCCGAUGUGAAAGCCCGGGGCUCAACCUCGGAAGUGCAUCGGAAACCGGCAGACUUGAGUACGGGAGAGGAGAGCGGAAUUCCUGGUGUAGAGGUGAAAUUCGUAGAUAUCAGGAGGAACACCAGCGGCGAAGGCGGCUCUCUGGCCCGAUACUGACGCUCAUGGUCGAAAGCGUGGGGAGCAAACAGG
This 252-nucleotide ribosomal RNA is filed under the name uncultured bacterium. RNAcentral's name for it is "partial 16S ribosomal RNA". It matches the Rfam family "Bacterial small subunit ribosomal RNA", at positions 525 to 776 of the family's 1533-position model. The record is from RNAcentral.